This 465-nucleotide ribosomal RNA is filed under the name Vreelandella stevensii. Its description in RNAcentral is "partial 16S ribosomal RNA". It matches the Rfam family "Bacterial small subunit ribosomal RNA", at positions 338 to 795 of the family's 1533-position model. Lineage: Bacteria; Pseudomonadati; Pseudomonadota; Gammaproteobacteria; Oceanospirillales; Halomonadaceae. The record is from RNAcentral.
CCUACGGGGGGCAGCAGUGGGGAAUAUUGGACAAUGGGAGCAACCCUGAUCCAGCCAUGCCGCGUGUGUGAAGAAGGCCCUCGGGUUGUAAAGCACUUUCAGUGAGGAAGAACGCCUGGUGGUUAAUACCCAUCAGGAAAGACAUCACUCACAGAAGAAGCACCGGCUAACUCCGUGCCAGCAGCCGCGGUAAUACGGAGGGUGCGAGCGUUAAUCGGAAUUACUGGGCGUAAAGCGCGCGUAGGUGGCUUGAUAAGCCGGUUGUGAAAGCCCCGGGCUCAACCUGGGAACGGCAUCCGGAACUGUCAAGCUAGAGUGCAGGAGAGGAAGGUAGAAUUCCCGGUGUAGCGGUGAAAUGCGUAGAGAUCGGGAGGAAUACCAGUGGCGAAGGCGGCCUUCUGGACUGACACUGACACUGAGGUGCGAAAGCGUGGGUAGCAAACAGGAUUAGAUACCCGUGUAGUC